RNAcentral lists this transfer RNA (77 nucleotides) under Halioglobus sp. RNAcentral describes it as "tRNA-Arg". It matches the Rfam family "tRNA". Rfam says of the family: Transfer RNA (tRNA) molecules are approximately 80 nucleotides in length. Their secondary structure includes four short double-helical elements and three loops (D, anti-codon, and T loops). Lineage: Bacteria; Pseudomonadati; Pseudomonadota; Gammaproteobacteria; Cellvibrionales; Halieaceae. RNAcentral also lists the same sequence under 2 other names. The record is from RNAcentral.
GCGCCAGUAGCUCAGCUGGAUAGAGCACGGCCCUUCUAAGGCUGCGGUCGAGGGUUCGAAUCCUUCCUGGCGCGCCA